UGGGGAAUUUUGGACAAUGGGCGCAAGCCUGAUCCAGCCAUGCCGCGUGCAGGAUGAAGGCCUUCGGGUUGUAAACUGCUUUUGUACGGAACGAAAAGGUGCCUUCUAAUAAAGGGCGCUCAUGACGGUACCGUAAGAAUAAGCACCGGCUAACUACGUGCCAGCAGCCGCGGUAAUACGUAGGGUGCGAGCGUUAAUCGGAAUUACUGGGCGUAAAGCGUGCGCAGGCGGUUUUGUAAGACAGAUGUGAAAUCCCCGGGCUUAACCUGGGAACUGCGGUUGUGACUGCAAGGCUGGAGUACGGCAGAGGGGGGUGGAAUUCCACGUGUAGCAGUGAAAUGCGUAGAGAUGUGGAGGAACACCGAUGGCGAAGGCAGCCCCCUGGGCCUGUACUGACGCUCAUGCACGAAAGCGUGGGGAGCAAACA
RNAcentral lists this ribosomal RNA (427 nucleotides) under uncultured bacterium. RNAcentral's name for it is "bacterial SSU rRNA". It matches the Rfam family "Bacterial small subunit ribosomal RNA", at positions 355 to 774 of the family's 1533-position model. The record is from RNAcentral.